This is a non-coding RNA of Heteronotia binoei (common prickly gecko), 72 nucleotides long. The record is from the annotation of a RefSeq genome assembly. Lineage: Eukaryota; Metazoa; Chordata; Lepidosauria; Squamata; Gekkonidae.
GGGGCUGUGGCUCAGUGGCAGAGCAUCUGCUUCGCAUGCAGAAGGCUCCAGGUUCGACCCCCGGCAUCUCCA